UGCCCCGUGGCUGAGUUGGUUACAGCGUCCGACUGUUACUUGCAUACAUCGGAAGGUCGUGAGUUCGAGCCUCACCGGGGCAG
This is a non-coding RNA of Trametes coccinea BRFM310, 83 nucleotides long. Lineage: Eukaryota; Fungi; Basidiomycota; Agaricomycetes; Polyporales; Polyporaceae. The record is from the annotation of a GenBank genome assembly.